RNAcentral lists this ribosomal RNA (460 nucleotides) under uncultured bacterium. Its description in RNAcentral is "partial 16S ribosomal RNA". It matches the Rfam family "Bacterial small subunit ribosomal RNA", at positions 338 to 795 of the family's 1533-position model. The record is from RNAcentral.
ACUACGGGAGGCAGCAGUGAGGAAUAUUGGUCAAUGGGCGCGAGCCUGAACCAGCCAAGUAGCGUGAAGGAUGAUUGCCCUACGGGUUGUAAACUUCUUUUAUAAAGGAAUAAAGUGAGGCACGUGUGCCUUUUUGUAUGUACCUUAUGAAUAAGCAUCGGCUAACUCCGUGCCAGCAGCCGCGGUAAUACGGAGGAUGCGAGCGUUAUCCGGAUUUAUUGGGUUUAAAGGGUGAGUAGGGUGUUUUUUAAGUCAGCGGUGAAAGUUUGUGGCUCAACCAUAAAAUUGCCGUUGAAACUGGCAGUCUUGAGUAUGUUUGAGGUAGGCGGAAUGCGUGGUGUAGCGGUGAAAUGCAUAGAUAUCACGCAGAACUCCGAUUGCGAAGGCAGCUUACUAAGCCAUAACUGACACUGAAGCACGAAAGCGUGGGGAUCAAACAGGAUUAGAUACCCGUGUAGUC